RNA transcript from Trichechus manatus latirostris (Florida manatee), 2406 nucleotides. It is a transcript of the gene named synaptosome associated protein 47, with no coding region annotated. The transcript has 4 exons. The record is from RefSeq and is a predicted model, not a curated record. NCBI's taxonomy places the organism in Eukaryota, Metazoa, Chordata, Mammalia, Sirenia, Trichechidae.
GAGCAUCACUGCUAUUGAUCAGCAUCAGAUGCCCUUGGGGUGCUGUGCCAUGAUCUCCCCUCCCUAUUGCAGCUCUUUGUGUUUGCUGGGUCAUUGGAGGUCUACAAGUGUGUUCUCUGGUCCCAGCUGCAGCAGGCAGCACCAGUUAAGGACUCCCGGAACUUAGCAUGGAUUGGACAGAUAGAUUAGCAUGUGAAGAAAGCUGUCCACCGUGGACACAAGUUGAUGUCAUUUGUGGUUCAUCCAACACGUGUUUAUUGUUCAUAUUGUGCUGGUGUUACGCACAAGGCUCUCUUCUCAUGAUGUUUACCUCCUAGUGCGUAGACCAGCUGAUAGACGUGUAAGCGCGUAAGCAAGCACCCUGGAGUUGUAUGUGCUAGGAAGGGAGUGAGCAGUGCUGUGACGGAGUGGCUGGUGCAGGGUGCCCUAGAGAGGAAGAGGGCCUCCGAGCAGAUCCCUGAGAGAAGGAGCUGGCGAUUCGAAGGUCUGGAGGAAAAUAUUUCAGACAGGACAGACAGCAAGUGGGAAGCCCUUGAGGGAGGAACAGAAAGGAUCCUGGAGAAUGGAGAGAAGGUGUUGGAUGAUGAGAUUGGAGGCCACAUAGAGCCUAUUAGGCCGUGGUGAGGAGUUUGGAUUUUACUUCAAGUAUGAUGGGAAGGAUUUUUGGCAGAAGAGUGACAUUUUCUAAUUCUGGUUUUUGAGUAUCACAUUGGCUGAUGAAUGGAGAAUGGUUGGUGGGGGCAGAGUGAAUCAAGGAGACCAGUUAGGGGAUUGUCCAGAUGCAGAAGUUGUGACCUUGGUGGCAACCCAAUCUAGGAAACAGAUGAGCAGAGACAUCUGUGUCCACACCUGGCCAUGCUCUUACUAUUUAGAACCUGAGAAGCAAUGGGUCCCUGGAGAACUUUCAUUAACUUCUCUCUCGCUAAAAUUUAUCGCUGAUAAAACUGGCAAAAUUCUUGUCAGCUUUCCCCUUUCUAGUAUAAUUGAGAUCAAGAAAGAGGCUUCCCAUUUUAUCUUCCGUUCUAUCACCAUCCUGGAAAAGGACCAUGUUAAGCACUGGUUUAGUUCCUUACAGCCUAGUCGGAAUGCUGUUUUCAAUAUCAUCGAGCAUUUUUGGAGAGAGCUGCUGCUGUGUCAGCCAGGAGCUACUGUUCAGGCAUCAUCCUCCCCCAUGACCAAGGGGAAGGAACUGACUGGUUUGAUGGCGUGUUCCCAGAAGCGCUUGGAAGAUACAGCAAAAGUCCUCCACCAUCAGGGUGAGCAGUUUGAUAACAUCAUGGAAGGACUAGACAAGAUUGAAUCUGACCUGGAUGUGGCUGACAGGUUGCUUACACAACUGGAAUCCCCUUCUUGGUGGCCUUUUAGUUCCAAGCUUUGGAAGACACCGUCAGAAACAAAGCCUGCGGAAGGCGCCUCAGCGUCUGGUUCUGAGGCUUUGGGGAAAGAAGGGAUAGUCAUCAAAAUUCCUGCCGUUAUUUCCCAAAGAACAGAGUCUCAUGCUAAACCAGGAAAGCUUAUCGUCCUUGUUUCUGGCUUGGAAGUCCGUGACUCAGAUUCCUUGCUCAUGCACAGAUUUGAAAGAGAGGAUGUAGAUGACAUUAAGGUUCGCACUCCUUAUGAAGUGAGCAUACGCCAACGGUUUAUUGGGAAGCCAGACAUAACUUACCAUUUGAUAUCUGCAAAAAUGCCAGAGGUUAUCCCGAUUUUAGAAGUGCAGUUCAGCAAGAAGAUUGAGUUUUUAGAAGAUGCCUUGAUGCUCAGAAGCACGAGAGCCUCUUCCCCGGCAGAGAAGGGCUGCUCAACCUGGCAUGCAGGUGAGUAGCCAGCAAAACAGCCUGAUCACUGACUUCCACAAUGACCGUCAAACUUGGCACACCAGUGGUAAGUAUUUCAUAUAAUACGUCACCUAAAGCAGCUGCUGGUUUGUAAAUAAAAAUAAUUCCAAACCGUUUUCCUUAGAACUUGGCAUCUGUGAAUGUCACAUCACUGAGGUUUAUUGUACACUUGAUAGAUACGUAGGUUUCAAAAUAGGUCGGAAGUGGCUUUGGCAAAUCUUUCAGAAUGAAAGAAAGCUCCAAGUUAAGUGUUUUCACUGUGUCUUGUUCUCUCAUCUCUUUCAUCGGUUUGAUUUGGAAACCAGCAUUUUAGGGCCUUGUCUGCCUCAUGGAGAGCCAGCUGGCAUCCUCUCUCUGCCUGCUCUGAUGGAUCUCUGUUUCCCCUUCACCGUUGCUGAGCGUCUCUCCAUCUCCCUUGGUAUUUAAUGAGGUCUUUCCAACCCACCGUCCAGCACCUGGGCUGAUGGACCGAGUGAGGCCCCGCGAGCCCUCAGGGAGCCCAGGAGGGCAGAGCCAGCUGCAGAUGAGCGAGCCCUUCAUCUCCGAGGAAGAAGCCCACGAGCUGACACAG